This 465-nucleotide ribosomal RNA is filed under the name Vreelandella stevensii. RNAcentral's name for it is "partial 16S ribosomal RNA". It matches the Rfam family "Bacterial small subunit ribosomal RNA", at positions 338 to 795 of the family's 1533-position model. The record is from RNAcentral. Lineage: Bacteria; Pseudomonadati; Pseudomonadota; Gammaproteobacteria; Oceanospirillales; Halomonadaceae.
CCUACGGGGGGCAGCAGUGGGGAAUAUUGGACAAUGGGGGGAACCCUGAUCCAGCCAUGCCGCGUGUGUGAAGAAGGCCCUCGGGUUGUAAAGCACUUUCAGUGAGGAAGAACGCCUGGUGGUUAAUACCCAUCAGGAAAGACAUCACUCACAGAAGAAGCACCGGCUAACUCCGUGCCAGCAGCCGCGGUAAUACGGAGGGUGCGAGCGUUAAUCGGAAUUACUGGGCGUAAAGCGCGCGUAGGUGGCUUGAUAAGCCGGUUGUGAAAGCCCCGGGCUCAACCUGGGAACGGCAUCCGGAACUGUCAAGCUAGAGGGCAGGAGAGGAAGGUAGAAUUCCCGGGGGAGCGGUGAAAUGCGUAGAGAUCGGGAGGAAUACCAGUGGCGAAGGCGGCCUUCUGGACUGACACUGACACUGAGGUGCGAAAGCGUGGGUAGCAAACAGGAUUAGAUACCCUUGUAGUC